Molecule: RNA transcript, 4840 nt
Organism: Phragmites australis (common reed)
Lineage: Eukaryota; Viridiplantae; Streptophyta; Magnoliopsida; Poales; Poaceae
Gene name: PITH domain-containing protein At3g04780-like
Exons: 3
Source: RefSeq, a predicted model, not a curated record
CCCCCCCCCUCGAGCCGCCGCGCCUGACGACCCGCGUGGCCACGCCCGCGCUCCCGACGACCCGCGCCGAGGUGCCGUCGCGGGGUGCGCGCGGUUCAGAACUACAACUCGAUCCCGAAGCAGGAGCCCUUCCGCUCGAGCCGCAGCAUCCUCGACGAGUUCCUCAGGUAGGAGAAGCCCCUCAUCCAGCGGACCAAAGAUCAGAUCACAGGCACGCUGCUGGGCUGCUAUGUGCUUCUCCGCUUUGCGCCAUAUGUUGUUUUCUGAAUUUUUAAUGCGUGCGCUGAGCAGUCCUGCCAAGGUUAACUGGCUAAAGUCAGCUCUAGCUUAGUUUUUGGUUUAGCUCUGAUUUGACUACGGCUCUGAGAGCGGUGAAUAUUUAUACGAGUGUGAUGCAGCACUUUGUUUUUGGAGUUGCAUGCUGUAGAAUAUUUAUAGGAGUUCAUUGUUACGAUUAGCUAUGUUUUACCAGCACAAAUCGAUUAUGCAUCAUAUUCCCUAUCACUAUCUCUAGCUUAACUGACAUGUUUAAUAAGGAAGGGAAAUUACUGUAAUAAUUACCAAACGAUAUGCGCAUAGGUAUUGAAAGAGUAUUUUUAGCAUUGAGUCUAGUGAAUAAUAAGUUGAGAAAUAGCAUGGACGAUGAGUUAUUGAACGAUUGUUUAGUCAUAUUUAUUGAGCGUGAUAUUUUCUGCUAGUUAAGUGAGAAUGAUAUAAUCGAGAUUUUCAUGGCCAUGAGAAAACGUAAAGUAGAGUUCUAGAGUAAAUAUUGUAAUCUUAUAUCUAUGUAAGACUUUAUUUCAUAUUUGGACUAUUUGUAUUGUACUUUUUGCAAAUUUCAAACUUAUUUGUUGAAUUUGCAAUGUUGAGAACUUUUAAUAUUAUUAGAUUAUAAUUUUAGCAAAUUUUAUACCGUGCACAUCCAACGAUCAAAUCCUGGCUCUGCCACUGUUUGUACGAGGAUGAACGGACGUGCUAUACCAAAAGGUAUUGCCUGAGCAGUGGGCGAUACCUUUUGCUGGACCCGCUAUUACAAGAUCUCGCCCGCUGAACGGGUGACACGUGACCUGAUUGCAUUUUUUGUAUUUUUUAAUUUUCUAACCAGUGGGUCCCACAAGGGGUGAUACCUUGCUCUCGUCCGAUGGACGGGUGAUGAUAGCCUAUUCUUGUAAUUUGUUGAAACGACCGUGUAAUAUUGCAAAUAUUUAAAAAAUAUAUAUAAAUAAAAAAAUCUGCGAAGCAGGCCAUUGGGUGGACUUGUAUCCUAGAGUUACAGGCAGACGGACACAGCUCCCGCUUGGGCUGGGCUAGGCCUUGCCCGCCACACGAGCUCCUCGUUUUCUCUCUCUUCCUGUUCCCAUAGCGGCGGCGCGGCACGGCGUGGCGAGGCAAACCAAUUGAGGCCUCCACCCAGGAGGGUUGCCCUAUCCUUCCGAGCACCACGCGACACCACUUAUCCUCGUUGUCCCGUCGAUAAGAGAGCCCCAGCUUGCUCGGAUGCAUUGCUUGCUCUUUUUGUGACACUUUUUCUGUGCCGGGAGCCCUCAAAUCCAAAUUCUCUUUUUCUGGGGGAUACUCUAAUCCACUCUAGUUUGCCGUGGAUUCGUUCACUGCAUAGCAUGGUACUAUUGUGCUAAUCGGUUGUUGCAGACUUGCAGUAUUGUUGCCUCAGUCUUGCUAGACCGAGGCUUCUCUGAUCAUAUGCGCUCCUGAUUACGUUUUUCCUUCAUUGUGUUGAUUACAGGGGAAGCGCACACUCACAAUAAGGGAUUUUUUUUUUAUUUCAAUGCAAUUCCUUGAUCUGUGCACUUGCAGAUUAAAGUGAUGCUGUGAGCUGUACAUUUGCAGAUCAGCUUGAUGUUGUGACCAUGUGGUUGCCUCAAUGGCGUUAAAGUUUCUGUCUUGCACCCGGGUUGCAAGAACACACCCGCUAUUGGGCAAACUUAUGUACCAUCCUUGCUCAAAUGUGCCCGCUGCUCGUCCUUGUGGUGCUGGAGGGAGUUCCUUUGAGUUUGACUCUGCGGUCCAGUCACUCAAGAACAAUCUUCAACCAGAGAGGCUAACCCGUGUUCUUGAUUCUACUUCCGAUUCAAGCUUGGCCCUUAGGAUCUUCAAAUGGGCUUCACAUCAGAGAUAUAACGUUCACACGGUUGGCAUGUACAGCUGCAUGAUCUCCAAGCUUGGUGUUUCUGGAAAUCGUGAUGAGAUGGAUAGCCUCCUCAGGGAGAUGGUCAGAUUUCAGGUCCCAGCACUGGAACAAGCCCUGAAUGAUUUAGUUCAGUCCCUGAGUGAUAAGAACCUCCUUGAUGAAGCAUUGCUGGUGAUCCAGCAUGCUAGUUCUGCGAAGCUCAAGCUGUCAAUCUCAGCUUGGAAUGGUGUGCUGCAUGGUUUGGUCAAGCAAGGGAGGGGCUUGCGGUUGUUCAUGCUUACGUACAUGGACAUUAUGAAGGCUGGAGUUCUUCCUGAUGUGGAAACAUUGAAUUGUUUAAUUGAGGUCUUGUGUGAAUCUGGCCGUUUAGAAUUGGCGUUGAUUCAGUUUAAUAGGAUGAGCAAGAAGAGGUGUGCUCCUAACAAUUAUACUUUCGAGAUACUCAUCACGGCUCUUUGUUCCCACAACAGAGCAGAUGAAGCGGUGAUACUCUUUGACAAGAUGCUGCAACUAAGAUGCACCCCUGAUAGCAAUUUUUAUGCUCAAGUGAUACCCCUAUUUUGCAAGUUCAGUAAAGUCAAUGAGGCGAUUAAGCUGCAUCAAAUGAUGAAAGAAGAUGGCCUUCAGUUGGAUCUACAGCUGUACAGUGCCUUGAUUAGAUGUUUAUGUGAGAAUCAACUAUUGGAUGACACGAACUUGAUGUUUCAAGAAAUGAUAGCAUCAGGUCAUUCUCCAAUGACAAGUACAUAUGUGGAUAUAGUGGAUUGCUACUGUAAAUCGGCCAAGUUCCAUGAAGCUGUGAGCUUUCUAGAGGAAAACGAUGUCACUGAAUCAGGACCGUAUAAUGGGCUGCUCAAAUGGUUGUGUAAAAAUGGCAGACUGCUGGAUUCAGUAAGCUAUCUUGAGAAAUUUCAGAGCAGAGGUUUGGUUGAUUGUCACUCAUGGAACAUUGUUAUAACUCACUUCUGUAAUGAAGGACACAUUACAAGAGCAUCUGAGCUCAUUGGUCGAAUGGUUGUUUCUUCAUUUACACCAGAUGAGAGUACCUAUUCUGCUGUUAUAUCUUGUUACUGUGGAUUAGGCUUGUAUAUAGAUGCCUUAGGUAUGUUCAGAAGGGUCAGUGUUAGCAACUUGUCCAUGAAUUCGGAAUCUUUUUCGCAACUUGUAAAGGUUCUUUGUCGCAUGAAGAGGAUCCAAGAAGCUACUGAGGUUUUUAAAUAUCACUGUAAAAGAGGUUGCAGUCUUACAAGCGAGUCACUUGAUAUGCUGAUUCAAGGGAGUUGUAUGGCUGGAAAGAUUCAUGAAGCAAUCAAAUUGCGUUCAUUAGCUGUUUUCACCGGCACUUCUUGUACAUUCUCUACUUAUGACAUAAUUAUCCAAGCACUGCUCCAAUUGAAGGAGGAGAAAUAUUUAUUGGUUCUGUUUGCACAAAUGCUGAUGGAAGGUUGUCUAUUGGAUGGGUACACAUACAAUAUUCUGUUGCGCUCUUUCCUUGCCAAGGAGACAAUUUUUGAGUCUGCUAUCUUGUUCAACAGAAUGGUGAAUCAUGGGUUUGUGCCUGACCAAGAGACAUUUGAACUAUUAGUCAAUGAUAUGGCCUUCUUUUCUUUUCUUAACAUGGUUGCACAAAAUUUACUGAAAGUGGUAAAGACAAGUGGAACGAUGAGCCCCAGAACAUAUAACAUUAUUAUUUAUGGCCUUAUUAAAGAAGGCUUCAAGAGUGAGGCAUGCAAGUUUCUAGAUCAAAUGCUAGAAAAGGGGUGGGUACCUGAUUCAAGGACACAUCGUGUCUUAGUCGGCAGAAUUGGUGGAGAGGAUGCUGGAGAACUUGGUGAAGUCUACCAGACAGGGGAUGAUGACAAUGUGAGCAACAUAUUGUUGGAGGGGCUAGAUUGAGAGUAUGAAACAGGCUUUUUAAAAUUUAAUUGUUGUACUAUGACAAGGAAAGGGAUGCCAGUGCUGACAUUUUGAGCUCCAUAUUUUGUACAAUGUUUGAAGAAACAUUGUUUUCAGGCAUGAUAUCAGUUGCGACUGAGCAGAUACAAAAAAUAGGCUGAACAAGAAAAACAUAAGAUUGUGCGAGGAUCAGGAAAAUGAAGAGUGCCAUUGUUUACCUGUCCCAUAAAUUGAAAUCUCUAAGUUCUGACUUUUGUAGCCUCCAGCUGAAGCAAGGUGUUAUCUUUUCAGUACCUAUCCAGAUCAAGACGAGAUACCCAGUUUCCCCGAUGAUCGCAGAGCCACCCAAUGCUCUGCUCCUCCUUGAUGUGAAAUAUUUGGAUUAGAAACCCAAGACGAGGCCAUGCCUCUCCAAAAUUUGGAUCUGCGAAAUUCCUACUUUCAAAUAGGGUCUUCUCUUUCUUUUUUUCUUUUGGAGCGGAAAUAGGGCUGAGGUUCGAUUUGUGGCUGGUUGGGAUGGGUUUGGGCUUAGUAGCGCGGAUUUGAGCUCAAAACGGCUUCGCGAAGUGCAAGUUGCUCUGUGAUUUGUGGUCACGAUUUGUGGUCACGGAGGUCUAGGGUAGCUGGGGCCGGGCGGUAUGGAGGCAGAUGGCCAAGGGGAUGGUAGUGGGAGUGCAGGAGGGGUGACCGACGGUUGGAGGAUGGUGUGAGUGACACGCUAUAUAUGGGGUGUGGAAGGAGCUGAAUUAUGUGUCAAAAUGGCGUGAAGAAUGAAGAUCAUAUUUUACUCGUUUU